UAGGUCACUGGUUCGAAUCCGGUAGGUCG
This 29-nucleotide small nuclear RNA is filed under the name Arabidopsis thaliana (thale cress). RNAcentral's name for it is "snRNA_15169". The record is from RNAcentral. Lineage: Eukaryota; Viridiplantae; Streptophyta; Magnoliopsida; Brassicales; Brassicaceae.